Long non-coding RNA from Pseudopodoces humilis (Tibetan ground-tit), 3307 nucleotides. RefSeq lists it as uncharacterized. Lineage: Eukaryota; Metazoa; Chordata; Aves; Passeriformes; Paridae. The record is from RefSeq and is a predicted model, not a curated record.
CAACCCACCAAGGCAAGGGCACAGCCUAAAGUCAUCUAACCCAGCAGCUCAUCUAAAGUCAUCUAACCCAUAGCUCCUCGCUAUGGGGGAUGAGGAGAGUUGCCAGGUAAUUUCCCCUUGAUGGCUGGGGCAGGAUGGAUGCAACCAGUCCUCACCAAGCCUGCAAGCCCCAGCACCUCCAUGAGCCUCUCAGCAGGACUGGAGAGGGACAAGAGCAGGCAGAGGGACCUGCCCAGGGACCAAGUGGAGAGCCCGGCAUCUCUGGAGGACCAGCAUGCUGACAGGCAGUAACACAAAACUGAAGAGUUGUACUGAAAGGAAGCUGAAAUGGAAAGUUAGGAGUCAAAUGGUUUCAGGACUCACAGAUUUUAUUUAAACAGUACCUAAAUGUUCGUAGAGUGAACAACAGAAUAAAGUCUAUCAGAAGCAAAGUAUGGGAAUGAAGUUCAGAAAGGGAAUAUGGAAGAAAUGUGCACAGAGGUAAGCCAAUGUUAGAAGUCAAUAUAAAUGUAUUAAAAAACCUUCUGAAAAGCAAUUUUCUAAAGCUCUGAAAGCUAAUAACAAAAGCUGCCUCAAAGCAAGUGGUUUUCCAGACAGCUGUUCAGACUGAUAGAUGAUCAAUAUGUGACAAAUGAGCACUCAAGACACAUUAUCUCAUGACAGCAAAGUCAAAUAAAUACUGAGGAUGCAUCCCACCCUGCAGCCUUUCCUCCUGGAGAACACAUCUGAAGAGAUUCCUCAAACUGAAGCGUCAGUAGAAAAGAUUUUCAAACAAACUGAUAAAAUGAAUGAGACCAAUCUGCAAGGCCAGUCAGCAUUCACCCAAGAGCUCUAUGGAAAUCCAGAGAGGAAAUUGCUGAAUGGUUAUCUGUGGUGCAAAGCCAGCCUGCUGUUUAAAUCAGCCUAUGCCAAAAGAACAAAAGCAAUAAAUGUAAUGCAGAAUGAAAAAGCAGGUUCCAGAGAAGGAACGAAAACACACAAGUGUGAUUCUGUGUAAGGCAAACUGAUCAACAUUCUAAAAAAGAACAUUAGAGACAGCAGAGAGCAAGGUGUAAUGUGGAAGAGUCAAAUGUUGUAUCUGCAGGAGGAAAUCCUGUUUCACAAAUUGAGUUUUUGGGACUGUCACUGAGGGAAUGGUGUUGUGAGUGAUGCCAUUCCCUUGGCUUUACAAAUGUGAGAACCUAUGAAAAAUUUCAAGGGGACCUGAAACUUCAAAAGAGAAAAGCCUAAAGAAUGUUGUGUGUACAUGGGGUGACUAAGUUUGAGCUAAUGGUGAUACUGGGCAUCUUGUUGGUGCAGUAGGGGACAGGGAGCACAGUGAGGAGGUGGGAUGGGGCAAGGCAGGACAGGUUACUGCUGCUCACCAGGAUCCGGGAGACCAGGGACACUACAGGGAACAGCCCACUAGGGGAUUUUGGCAGAGAUGGGACUAUACCUCAUGUCCAUCUCCACACACAACCCCUCUCCUGACCACAGGAACAACCUCCCAGCCUCACACAGGUCCUAAGCAAACAAAUGGGAGGAUUUUUACUGGUUUUAAUGAUGUAUGAGGUCAGAUGGAGCUGAAGCCAGACCAGCUGCCAGUGCAACUGUGCAUAAAUCAGUGCAUUGGCUCGCAGAUGGAGAAAGAGUUGAGGUUUUUGCAGGUCCUUACCCAGCUAUUCAGCCUCCCCUACAUCUCACACCCAAGAAAUUUUGGAGCCAGCACUGCCCUUGCUGAAGUCCCUGGGUGAGCUGUCCUUGUCCUCGAUGGCCCCAGGGGCCCUGUCUAAGCUGCCACAGCGUGGCUCAGCCUCUGACAGGUCCCUGGGGACACAUUUAUGGCCCUGCCUUAGCUGGAGGGAGGCACUGAGACACUGGUUUGGGUAAGGUAGUACUUCCACUAGGGCUAGGCUGAGAACUUCAGUUUCUUUUAACUUUAAACAACACUACUUCUUUAUAAAAUUGAGCCUCUCCACCUGCAGCAGAGUGCAGAUCCAAAUUGAUUUGCAACACUGCUGAGGACCCAGUGUCUCCCACCAAGAAGCAUGGUGAUGUAUCAGAAAGUCAGAUAUCUGUUGGACAUUCAGUGAUGGUAGGGCUAGAGGGAACCUGUAUGAUUAUUUAGUCCAGCUUUCCACACAAUUCAUACAGUAAUUCCUGCAUCAUGUCCCCAUCUUAAAACGUAUAAUCUGUUUUUGAAAUGUGUCCAGUUUUUAUUUAUACAAUUCAAGCAGUAUAGACUCCACUAUUCUUUCAUGCAUUGUAUUGCAAGCAAUCAUUAUGUUUGGCAUAACUGCACUGUUCUUCUCACAAGCCUCAUUUUUUCUGCCUCUGGGUAUCAUUGCACCUCUUUCUGAUAGACAGAAAAGCCACAGGACAGCAGCAACAUCCUCCACAUGGAGAGGUGAACAGGCAACAAAGGCAUUCACCCUUUGCUCUUUGCUGAGAUAGACUGACAAAACAUAUUUUACAGACCUCAGAUCACGGUUACAGCUGAAGAGAAGAGAGGACACUUAAAUCUCAUCAUUCAGGCUAAGAGAACAAAACUGAGCUGCAGACUGUCAUAAGCACUUUUUUCCUCUAAAUGCAUAUUGACUGUGUCAAGUAAAAAAUAAGCAUUUAAAAAGAAAUACAGUUUUAAGUCAAUGACAGAUAUGACUCCAAUUUACAUUGUGUGUGAAUAAUUCUCAUUUCCUAUCUCAUUUCACUAUCCCUCCUCAGUUUCAUACUAUCCAAGAGGACUUUCAUAAUCCUGCCCAUGCACAUUUGCCAAGUCUCCAAAUAGCUUUAAAACAACCCACUGAUGAGAGACCACCAACUUUACAGGUUCUUACAACUCCCACUGUACAUUUUAUGGGUAUUUAGAAAUGCUACAGGGUUUUCCUAAUGCUGGAGAAAUUUCAGUUCUUUUCACUAAUAAUAGACAUGUGUUUCAGCAGCCUUUCCUCACUUUUCCUCUCCUCGCCUGCCUAUAUUCUCAAAUUGCUGCUUUUUAAGAUGUAUUUUUCAUAGAACUAUAAAACCAGAGACAUUUUUUUCUUUUUUUUUUUUUUCUUUUCUUUUUUUUUUUUUUUUUAUCCUCAGAUUAAGGACUGGACAAAACUCUCAGCCUGCCAAGCUAAUGCUUUCUUCCUUUCUUUUUUCUUUUAUUUUUUUUUUUUGGUUGUUAUUUAAAUACUUCACAAUAAAAGAAUGUGCUCCCGAUGGAAUUUUUACUGCAAAAAGAAAAGUUUUCCCUUUCUUCUUUCUUAUAUCUUGUACAUUUUGAAACACGUACUGAAACCCUGAAACCUCCUGAGGAAGAUGGCUGCUCACAUGUCAGACU